Molecule: ribosomal RNA, 495 nt
Filed under: uncultured bacterium
Lineage: Bacteria
Description: partial 16S ribosomal RNA
Rfam family: Bacterial small subunit ribosomal RNA
Source: RNAcentral
GACGAACGCUGGCGGCGUGCCUAAUACAUGCAAGUAGAACGCUGAAGGAGGAGCUUGCUUCUCCGGAUGAGUUGCGAACGGGUGAGUAACGCGUAGGUAACCUGCCUGGUAGCGGGGGAUAACUAUUGGAAACGAUAGCUAAUACCGCAUAAGAGUAGAUGUUGCAUGACAUUUGCUUAAAAGGUGCAAUUGCAUCACUACCAGAUGGACCUGCGUUGUAUUAGCUAGUUGGUGGGGUAACGGCUCACCAAGGCGACGAUACAUAGCCGACCUGAGAGGGUGAUCGGCCACACUGGGACUGAGACACGGCCCAGACUCCUACGGGAGGCAGCAGUAGGGAAUCUUCGGCAAUGGACGGAAGUCUGACCGAGCAACGCCGCGUGAGUGAAGAAGGUUUUCGGAUCGUAAAGCUCUGUUGUAAGAGAAGAACGAGUGUGAGAGUGGAAAGUUCACACUGUGACGGUAUCUUACCAGAAAGAGACGGCUAACUACGUG